CCUACGGGAGGCAGCAGUGGGGGAUAUUGCACAAUGGGGGAAACCCUGAUGCAGCGACGCCGCGUGGGCGAAGAAGUAUUUCGGUAUGUAAAGCCCUAUCAGCAGGGAAGAAGAAAUGACGGUACCUGAGUAAGAAGCACCGGCUAAAUACGUGCCAGCAGCCGCGGUAAUACGUAUGGUGCAAGCGUUAUCCGGAUUUACUGGGUGUAAAGGGUGCGCAGGCGGGAGAUCAAGUCAGCGGUAAAAUGUCGGGGCUCAACCCCGGCCGGCCGUUGAAACUGGUUUUCUAGAGUUGGAGAGAAGUAUGCGGAAUUCGUGGUGUAGCGGUGAAAUGCAUAGAUAUCACGAAGAACUCCGAUUGCGAAGGCAGCAUACCGGCUCCAUACUGACGCUGAGGCACGAAAGCGUGGGGAUCGAACAGGAUUAGAUACCCCAGUAGUC
RNAcentral lists this ribosomal RNA (441 nucleotides) under uncultured bacterium. RNAcentral's name for it is "partial 16S ribosomal RNA". It matches the Rfam family "Bacterial small subunit ribosomal RNA", at positions 338 to 795 of the family's 1533-position model. The record is from RNAcentral.